This 375-nucleotide ribosomal RNA is filed under the name uncultured bacterium. Its description in RNAcentral is "bacterial SSU rRNA". It matches the Rfam family "Bacterial small subunit ribosomal RNA", at positions 521 to 896 of the family's 1533-position model. The record is from RNAcentral.
UAAGACGAACCGUGCAAACGUUGUUCGGAAUCACUGGGCUUAAAGGGCGCGUAGGCGGGCAGGCAAGUCGGAGGUGAAAGCCCACGGCUCAACCGUGGAAGUGCCCCCGAUACUGCAUGUCUGGAGGGAGGUAGGGGCGUGCGGAACUUCCGGUGGAGCGGUGAAAUGCGUAGAUAUCGGAAGGAACACCGGUGGCGAAAGCGGCGCGCUGGACCUCUACUGACGCUGAGGCGCGAAAGCCAGGGGAGCAAACGGGAUUAGAUACCCCGGUAGUCCUGGCCCUAAACGAUGGGUACUAGGUAGUGGACUUACAUGGGUUCACUGCCGAAGCAAAAGUGUUAAGUACCCCGCCUGGGGAGUAUGGUCGCAAGGCUG